UCCGGGGUAGUUCAGCGGUAGAACGCUCGGCUUGGACCGAGUGGGCGCUGGUUCGAAUCCAGCCCCCGGAC
This 71-nucleotide transfer RNA is filed under the name Planctomyces sp. SH-PL14. It matches the Rfam family "tRNA". From Rfam's summary of the family: Transfer RNA (tRNA) molecules are approximately 80 nucleotides in length. Their secondary structure includes four short double-helical elements and three loops (D, anti-codon, and T loops). The record is from Rfam by way of RNAcentral. Lineage: Bacteria; Pseudomonadati; Planctomycetota; Planctomycetia; Planctomycetales; Planctomycetaceae.